AUUGAACGCUGGCGGCAUGCCUUACACAUGCAAGUCGAACGGCAGCACGGGUGCUUGCACCUGGUGGCGAGUGGCGAACGGGUGAGUAAUACAUCGGCACAUGUCCUGUAGUGGGGGAUAGCCCGGCGAAAGCCGGAUUAAUACCGCAUACGAUCUACGGAUGAAAGCGGGGGCCCUUCGGGCCUCGCGCUAUAGGGUUGGCCGAUGGCUGAUUAGCUAGUUGGUGGGGUAAAGGCCUACCAAGGCGACGAUCAGUAGCUGGUCUGAGAGGACGACCAGCCACACUGGGACUGAGACACGGCCCAGACUCCUACGGGAGGCAGCAGUGGGGAAUUUUGGACAAUGGGCGAAAGCCUGAUCCAGCAAUGCCGCGUGUGUGAAGAAGGCCUUCGGGUUGUAAAGCACUUUUGUCCGGAAAGAAAUCCUUGGCUCUAAUACAGUCGGGGGAUGACGGUACCGGAAGAAUAAGCACCGGCUAACUACGUG
RNAcentral lists this ribosomal RNA (486 nucleotides) under uncultured bacterium. RNAcentral's name for it is "partial 16S ribosomal RNA". It matches the Rfam family "Bacterial small subunit ribosomal RNA", at positions 30 to 507 of the family's 1533-position model. The record is from RNAcentral.